Hypomesus transpacificus is the source of this 339-nucleotide long non-coding RNA. RefSeq lists it as uncharacterized. The record is from RefSeq and is a predicted model, not a curated record. NCBI's taxonomy places the organism in Eukaryota, Metazoa, Chordata, Actinopteri, Osmeriformes, Osmeridae. The transcript has 3 exons.
AGUAGAAGCCCUGGACCAUCAACACCAGGGAACACCCCAACACACCUGGCAUGAGGGAAGCACUGUACUGUUGAUGUUUGACCAUCUAAAAAAAGACGGGCCUUCGAGGCCCUAAGUCAGGAUCUCCCUGGGCAAGUUUCCAACGUCAAGUAUGAUGUUAAACGUAUCCCUGGACUACUGAGACGUAAAUCUGACCACAAGAAGAAAUCCGUGAAUACCGGUGUUGGUGUUGAUGCUGGUGCGGGCGUUGAUGCUGGUGCUGGUAUUGGUGCUGGUGUUGAUGCUGGUGCUGGUAUUGGUGCUGGUAUAGAUGCUAGUGCUGGUGUUGAUGCUGGUGUU